AGAGUUUGAUCCUGGCUCAGGACGAACGCUGGCGGCGUGCUUAACACAUGCAAGUCGAACGGAAAGGCCCUUCGGGGUACUCGAGUGGCGAACGGGUGAGUAACACGUGGGUGAUCUGCCCUGCACUUUGGGAUAAGCCUGGGAAACUGGGUCUAAUACCGAAUAUGACCAUGCACUUCCUGGUGUGUGGUGGAAAGCUUUUGCGGUGUGGGAUGGGCCCGCGGCCUAUCAGCUUGUUGGUGGGGUAAUGGCCUACCAGGGCGACGACGGGUAGCCGGCCUGAGAGGGUGACCAGCCACACUGGGACUGAGAUACGGCCCAGACUCCUACGGGAGGCAGCAGUGGGGAAUAUUGCACAAUGGGCGCAAGCCUGAUGCAGCGACGCCGCGUGAGGGAUGACGGCCUUCGGGUUGUAAACCUCUUUCAGCACAGACGAAGCGCAAGUGACGGUAUGUGCAGAAGAAGGACCGGCCAACUACGUGCCAGCAGCCGCGGUAAUACGUAGGGUCCGAGCGUUGUCCGGAAUUACUGGGCGUAAAGAGCUCGUAGGUGGUUUGUCGCGUUGUUCGUGAAAACUCACAGCUUAACUGUGGGCGUGCGGGCGAUACGGGCAGACUUGAGUACUGCAGGGGAGACUGGAAUUCCUGGUGUAGCGGUGGAAUGCGCAGAUAUCAGGAGGAACACCGGUGGCGAAGGCGGGUCUCUGGGCAGUAACUGACGCUGAGGAGCGAAAGCGUGGGGAGCGAACAGGAUUAGAUACCCUGGUAGUCC
Molecule: ribosomal RNA, 771 nt
Filed under: uncultured bacterium
Lineage: Bacteria
Description: bacterial SSU rRNA
Rfam family: Bacterial small subunit ribosomal RNA
Source: RNAcentral